This 441-nucleotide ribosomal RNA is filed under the name uncultured bacterium. RNAcentral describes it as "partial 16S ribosomal RNA". It matches the Rfam family "Bacterial small subunit ribosomal RNA", at positions 338 to 795 of the family's 1533-position model. The record is from RNAcentral.
CCUACGGGUGGCAGCAGUGGGGGAUAUUGCACAAUGGGGGAAACCCUGAUGCAGCGACGCCGCGUGAGUGAAGAAGUAUUUCGGUAUGUAAAGCCCUAUCAGCCGGGAAGAAAAAGGACGGUACCUGACUAAGAAGCCCCGGCUAACUACGUGCCAGCAGCCGCGGUAAUACGUAGGGGGCACGCGUUAUCCGGAUUUACUGGGUGUAAAGGGAGCGUAGACGGCAAUGCAAGUCGGAAGUGAAAUACCCGGGCUCAACCCGGGGACUGCUGUGGAAACUGUGAGGCUAGAGUGCUGGAGAGGUAAGCGGAAUUCCUGGUGUAGCGGUGAAAUGCGUAGAUAUUAGGAGGAACACCGGUGGCGAAGGCGGCUUGCUGGACCGUAACUGACGUUGAGGCUCGAAAGCGUGGGGAGCAAACAGGAUUAGAUACCCUGGUAGUC